RNAcentral lists this ribosomal RNA (254 nucleotides) under uncultured bacterium. RNAcentral describes it as "partial 16S ribosomal RNA". It matches the Rfam family "Bacterial small subunit ribosomal RNA", at positions 524 to 776 of the family's 1533-position model. The record is from RNAcentral.
UACGUAGGGUGCUAGCGUUGUCCGGAUUUAUUGGGCGUAAAGGGCUCGUAGGCGGCGUGUCGCGUCGGGAGUGAAAGCCCGCUGCUCAACGGCGGGUUGGCUUCCGGUACGGGCAUCGCUGGAGUGCGGCAGGGGAGACUGGAAUUCCUGGUGUAGCGGUGGAAUGCGCAGAUAUCAGGAGGAACACCAAUAGCGAAGGCAGCUCGCUGGGACGUUACUGACACUGAGGCGCGAAAGCGUGGGGAGCGAACAGG